RNAcentral lists this transfer RNA (80 nucleotides) under Pseudomonadota bacterium. RNAcentral describes it as "Proteobacteria bacterium tRNA-Met". Lineage: Bacteria; Pseudomonadati; Pseudomonadota. The record is from RNAcentral.
UAUGUGGUGGUGCUGCUGGUCACGCGCGCGCCAUCUGCUCAUAACUGAGGGUCGCAGGUUCAAACCCUGCCCCCAAACCA